GAGCAGGUACUUGUGCUCAUACGUGUUUGUGCUCUCUGCAAGUGAGGUCCAAGGAGGACACGUGAGAGAACUGGGAAGAGGCCCUCUAUGACUGCUCUCAGCAUCCACAAACUACAAUUCCAAGCAGCCAAGUGCUUUGUCUCCCUGCUCUCAAAGUGCUUCUUGCAAAGUCUUAAGCAGCAAAGGGUGUAUGUGGUGGGUGAUGAAGUCUGAAAUGGAGGAUGUGCAUGGCUUUCUGAACAUGCUUGUGCAGAAAACUGACAACAAGUGAUGAACCACCUCUCAGUCAUCUGGUUACUGCAGAACCUCGUUUGAAAUUCCCACGUUGUGAAGGUAGGUACUUUCAAUAAUGAACACUCUUGGGGCUGUGUCACAUAAGAUCUUUUGCCUUUUAAAUGCAGAUGAUAGGCUACUAAAAAUGUCUCUCUCCACGUAGCAUUUUUUUUUGCAGUGCUGCUAUGUGUUGCAUAUGCCAAACUUUCUUCUGUGACUGUAAAAUAUUUUAUCUGGUUUAGAUUUGUUAUCUGGCCCACGAAGAAAAAGAGACACCUUGAAAUUUGGUUAUCACAUCUCAUUGAGCAAUCUUGUGAACCUGUUGAACAUAUUAACAGUUGUAUUUAAAUAUAAUUAGGUAUGGUGAACUCACUUGUUUGAAAGUUUGGUUUUGUAAAGACAUAAGCAUUCAGUUUCUUGUUAUUUGCAUACAAAGUAUGACACUGACAUCUGCACUUUCACGGAAUUCUUAUUCAGAACUUCAGUGGAACCUCACUGUCGCUGUUAAAUUGUAGCUGUAUUUUGUC
RNAcentral lists this long non-coding RNA (800 nucleotides) under Taeniopygia guttata (zebra finch). RNAcentral's name for it is "lncRNA (ENSTGUG00000028174.1)". The record is from RNAcentral. Lineage: Eukaryota; Metazoa; Chordata; Aves; Passeriformes; Estrildidae.